UACUCUGUCAUAUGAUUCAAACAGCUAUCAAUGAGCUCUAAGACUAAAACAAUCAUAUGUAUUAUGCCUAAAUCAGGUGGUUACUCUUAUCAUUUCCCUAAUAAGGUCAGAAAAUAGUUGUUUUUUUUUCAUUUCUGUGUAAUUAAUAAUAAAUGAAUGUAGAAUCAUCAUGACCAUUUCUAAUGCUUCUGCUUAAAUGUUUAAUGAGCUCACUAAGCAGUGCACUUAUAUAUUGUACAUGUAUGUAUGAUGUAUUGUGAGUUAUGAAACAUAAGUUAAUCUUUUCAUUUUAAUCAUUACAGAAAAUGGAUUGUCUGCACUCAUGCGUCAUCGCAGUACGAGGAUUUCAACCUAAAAAGAAACCCUGCACAUUUGCAGCUGUACAGAAUGCAGUUCAUGUCAUAUGCUGUUAGAGUAAAUGAUGAAAGAUGUUCAAACCAGUGUCACUGAGUCCUAAGUCUGAAAUCAUGGUGUUUUUAUUAAGGAGAUCAGUGUGUUUUCUGUGCAUUGUUGACAUUUGAAGAACUGUUCGGUUUAUGACCAUCUCUCUGACAAUAACUCUGACAUUUGAAUUUCAAUUUGAGCGACGGUAAAGAAAGCCAAAUUAUAUGCAUGUGAAACAUUUAACAAGUGUAAUAAAAACAUUGAUAAACUUUAAUUUAAACAAAGUUCAUGUACAUGUAUCUGUGAUCUUUGCAUUGAAAUUCAUAAAUGCUGUACAUGGAUACUUUUAAUGACUGUCUCAUUGUAAUGGAAUAUUCAAUUGUUAAACAUUGUUGAGGAAUCACCUUGAAUAAAAAUAUUGUGAACUUGAUAAA
Long non-coding RNA from Saccostrea cuccullata (small rock oyster), 818 nucleotides. RefSeq lists it as uncharacterized. The record is from RefSeq and is a predicted model, not a curated record. The transcript is spliced from 2 exons. NCBI's taxonomy places the organism in Eukaryota, Metazoa, Mollusca, Bivalvia, Ostreida, Ostreidae.